This is a long non-coding RNA of Apis cerana (Asiatic honeybee), 1042 nucleotides long. RefSeq lists it as uncharacterized. Lineage: Eukaryota; Metazoa; Arthropoda; Insecta; Hymenoptera; Apidae. The record is from RefSeq and is a predicted model, not a curated record.
ACGUUUGUGAAUAAAUUCAAAUUCACUAUUUAGUGACGAGUAUGCCACGAGUGUUGUCAUCCUCUCUCGCUCAUCAAAGAAAUCCUUGGAUCGUCGUCGUUCCCAACAAAGACAAAGUAUGAAUGCUCAACCGUGAACUAACAGAUUCUCAGAGUAAACGCGGCCGGUUUUCGAUACACGCAUGCACGCGACACGAUCCCGCGAUAGAAGGCACGAACAAGGAGAACCUCCUCGAAACACGGAGUGCCUCCGUGUACGCGCGUUUCACCGAAACAGCACGGCUGUUGGUAAUUGCCACGGCUGCGAGGAGAAAUCUAACGUAAAUCCAACGCGAUACGUUUAAUCCCGAGGAAGGGAUCACCUUCCAAGAAACGGAUCAAUUUUUACAUUUUUACAUCCGAAUCUUGUGAAACUUCUCCGAAACGGAGAAGAGUCCGUCUUCCAUCCGUCCGUCGAUAUUUCCAUCGAGAGCAUCUUUCGAGAUGCGAAAUAUCGAUUCAUCGAGAAGAAUUCCUGGGAGAAAUCUUGGGAACGGUGCGUAAAUUUCCUCUCCGAUCAAUUUGUUUCGCAUCUCCUGACGGAAACAAGAAGAAAGAGAGAGAAAAAAUAAAUAAAUAAGAAUCGCCCGUUUCCAGAUCGAUAUAUAUAUUAUCCCCGUCUCCGCGUGGACGAUGGAACACGAUGUCGAGAGACUUCUCUCAUCCGGAUAGAUAACCGACGAAGAAGGGAAAGAAGAAAUUGAAGGUAGGUUGGGACGAAUGGUAAUUGGGCGGAAAGAUAACGGAAAACGGUGUGGCGUGUCCCCCGGUUUGGUAAAGGUGAGAGAAGGUUGAAGGCUGGAGGAUUAUCGCGCGGCGGAGUUGGCAAGUGCGGGCGGAGGGGAGAGGAUAGAAGGUGGUACGUGCACCGUAUUGGUAUCGUUGGUACGCUCGCACCCAACGGUACACCCCGUUAACGCGCUGCCAUUUUCGAUAAGAGAGGUUGCAAGGACGACGGUGAUCGCGCUCGACGCGUAGGCAAGCUGCUCGUAAAGUGUUUAGCC